CAGCAGCCGCGGUAAAACGUAGGGUGCAAGCGUUAAUCGGAAUUACUGGGCGUAAAGCGUGCGCAGGCGGUUAUAUAAGACAGAUGUGAAAUCCCCGGGCUCAACCUGGGAACUGCAUUUGUGACUGUAUAGCUAGAGUACGGCAGAGGGGGAUGGAAUUCCGCGUGUAGCAGUGAAAUGCGUAGAUAUGCGGAGGAACACCGAUGGCGAAGGCAAUCCCCUGGGCCUGUACUGACGCUCAUGCACGAAAGCGUGGGGAGCAAACAGGAUUAGAUACCCCCGUAGUCCCUGUCUCUUAUAC
This 301-nucleotide ribosomal RNA is filed under the name uncultured bacterium. RNAcentral's name for it is "partial 16S ribosomal RNA". It matches the Rfam family "Bacterial small subunit ribosomal RNA", at positions 509 to 807 of the family's 1533-position model. The record is from RNAcentral.